AUCCUAGGAUUUAGCGCUGAUGGGGUCCUAAGACAAGGUGGUGCUUUGGUGGAUGAUCAACCUAAAGCUGAGUUGCAUGGCCAGGGUGGGCAUCCAGCGGGAGUGGGCACAGGUGCGCCCCACUGUGGCCUGACACUGCUUGCUGUGUUCUGGGCAGGCGCAGGACCCUGCUGGGACAGCCCAGAACACCACGUCCUCUCUUGCUGUCCCUGGGCAGGGCCACACCCAUUCCCUACUGUGAGCUUGCUACAACAGGGUGGCUUAUAUUCCAGGUAACUGCAGCCUCCAGCCUCACCAAGCUCAGCUCCACCUCCGUCUGGAGGCCUCGGGCAUUUGCGACGUCUCCCUUGCAGAGCACUGCCUUUGCAGAGAGCUGCAGGCAAAACUCAGAGGCCAAGGGUGACUCCUGUCGCACCACGUCCAGUCCACCAGCCGCCCCGUUUCUCCAAAGCACCGACAUCCUGUGCUACUUCAGCUGCUUCCUGAGGUUUUCUGCAGCCUCACUGGAGCGUGGAAGCCACGAGGAGAGGCCCUGUGUUCUCCAGUCAGCACCUGCUCAGCACAUACAGAAGCCUCUGUGGAAGGCCCGGAUGAGCCUGUACCCACGAUCCCACCCCUACCGUGUGCCAGGCUCUCGCCGAUCCCUGUAGAACACACACACAAGGGGCUGUGGAGCCUGAGACAAGUCCUGUCACUCCCCG
Molecule: long non-coding RNA, 701 nt
Filed under: Equus caballus (horse)
Lineage: Eukaryota; Metazoa; Chordata; Mammalia; Perissodactyla; Equidae
Description: lncRNA (ENSECAG00000057754.1)
Source: RNAcentral